RNAcentral lists this unclassified non-coding RNA (383 nucleotides) under uncultured bacterium. Its description in RNAcentral is "contains 16S-23S intergenic spacer region". The record is from RNAcentral.
UCUGGCUUAUAGCCUAGCGGUCUCGUUAGAGUGCCCAACUUAAUGAUGGUAACUAACGACGAGGGUUGCGCUCGUUGCGGGACUUAACCCAACAUCUCACAGCACGAGCUGACGACAGCCAUGCAGCACCUGUGCACGUUCCACCUUGCGGUGUCAUUCCCCUUUCAGGAAACUAAUCCGUGCAUGUCAAGCCUUGGAUAAGGUUCUUCGCGUUGCUUCGAAUUGAGCCACAUGCUCCACCGCUUGUGUGAGCCCCCGUCAAUUCCUUUGAGUUUUAGCCUUGCGGCCCUACUCCCCAGGCGGGGUGCUUAAUGCGUUAGCUUCGGCACAGACGGAGUCGACACCGCCCACACCUAGCACCCAUCGUUUACGGCGUGGACUAC